UCGCGCUAGGCGGGGAGCCAGCGGUGCCCUGUACCCGCAAUCCGCUACAGCGGGGCUGAAUCCCCGCCCGAGGGGCCGUUCCGCGAGGCUGUCAGCCGUGUCGCGGCGUUGAAGGUCGGGUCCUACGCAAUGGAACCCUGCGAACCCCGUCAGGUCCGGGAGGAAGCAGCGGUAAGCAGGCCAUUCCAUGUGCCGCAGGGUCGCCUGACCCGAGCUUGCGCACGGCGAGGACGCUCGGAGAACGCGCUUCGACGGCGGGUGCGCGG
This 266-nucleotide signal recognition particle RNA is filed under the name Actinomycetota bacterium. Its description in RNAcentral is "Actinobacteria bacterium signal recognition particle sRNA large type". It matches the Rfam family "Bacterial large signal recognition particle RNA". From Rfam's summary of the family: The signal recognition particle (SRP) is a universally conserved ribonucleoprotein involved in the co-translational targeting of proteins to membranes. The record is from RNAcentral. Lineage: Bacteria; Bacillati; Actinomycetota.